This 252-nucleotide ribosomal RNA is filed under the name uncultured bacterium. Its description in RNAcentral is "partial 16S ribosomal RNA". It matches the Rfam family "Bacterial small subunit ribosomal RNA", at positions 524 to 776 of the family's 1533-position model. The record is from RNAcentral.
UACGGAGGGUGCAAGCGUUAUCCGGAUUCACUGGGUUUAAAGGGUGCGUAGGUGGGAAGGUAGUCCGGGGUGAAAUCUCCGGGCUUAACCCGGAAACUGCCAUUGAUACUAUUUGUCUUGAAUACUGUGGAGGUCAGCGGAAUAUGUCAUGUAGCGGUGAAAUGCUUAGAUAUGACAUAGAACACCAAUUGCGAAGGCAGCUGGCUACACAAAUAUUGACACUGAGGCACGAAAGCGUGGGGAUCAAACAGG